RNAcentral lists this ribosomal RNA (450 nucleotides) under uncultured bacterium. RNAcentral's name for it is "bacterial SSU rRNA". It matches the Rfam family "Bacterial small subunit ribosomal RNA", at positions 354 to 796 of the family's 1533-position model. The record is from RNAcentral.
GUGGGGAAUAUUGGACAAUGGGCGCAAGCCUGAUCCAGCAAUGCCGCGUGUGUGAAGAAGGCCUGCGGGUUGUAAAGCACUUUUGUUCGGGAAGAAAUCAUGCUGGUUAAUACCUGGUAUGGAUGACGGUACCGAAAGAAUAAGCACCGGCUAACUUCGUGCCAGCAGCCGCGGUAAUACGAAGGGUGCAAGCGUUAAUCGGAAUUACUGGGCGUAAAGGGUGCGUAGGCGGCCUUUUAAGUCGGAUGUGAAAUCCCCGGGCUCAACCUGGGAAUGGCAUUCGAUACUGGGAGGCUAGAGUUUGGGAGAGGGUGGUGGAAUUCCCGGUGUAGCGGUGAAAUGCGUAGAGAUCGGGAGGAACAUCAGUGGCGAAGGCGGCCACCUGGCCUAAAACUGACGCUGAGGCACGAAAGCGUGGGGAGCAAACAGGAUUAGAAACCCCUGUAGUCC